This 204-nucleotide unclassified non-coding RNA is filed under the name Hevea brasiliensis (rubber tree). Lineage: Eukaryota; Viridiplantae; Streptophyta; Magnoliopsida; Malpighiales; Euphorbiaceae. The record is from RNAcentral.
GAGCACGGACCUCCAAGACCGAUAUAGGAGGAAGUAGAGAGUCACGCACUUGCUCCUAGUCGGGGGAGAAGUGGUAGUAGAGCAGAGUCAUCUCGAGGUACUGUGAGUAGGGCACAGCAGGCCUUCUAUGAACAGAUGACACAGCUGUUCCGUCAGUUCGCCGGAGCCAUUCCCCAGCCACAGCCACCUCCACCUCCACAGCCA